Molecule: unclassified non-coding RNA, 311 nt
Filed under: uncultured bacterium
Lineage: Bacteria
Description: contains 16S-23S intergenic spacer region
Source: RNAcentral
AAAGCUUCCGCCUUCCUGCAACUGACCAAAAGCGAUGCCCGGAUUCUCCGUGUAAACAAAAUCGAGGAAGCCGCGAACGAUAGUUCGAUCAGCACCGAAUCGCAACGCGCGUACCGCCCACGCCUUGCUGGACUGAUCGACCAUGUAGAUGCCAAGGCUGGCGAACAGGUAACCGGCGCGCCAGCCGAAGCGUAAUGCCGGAGUUUGUUUAUCUUGAAUUUGGUUCAUUCAGUCGCUUGGCGCUUAGGCCUCAAGCACGGCAGUCUCUUUUUCAAUUUCUUCCAGAGCGCUCACACACCGUUCGCAGACAU